AUGGGUACAAAAACCAAUUAUCUUUGACUGCUGCUCUCAACCACAUAAUGCGCCAUUCAUCACUGGUAGCAAAGAUUUACAGAAUGUCAGCAUCACACUGCGCAUCCUCUUCCAGCCCAUCGCUAGCCAGCAUCCUCUCAUCUUCACCAGCCUUGGAGAGGACUAUGAUGAGCCUGUGCUGCCGUUCAUUACCACUGAGAUCCUCAAGUCACUGCUGGCUUGCUUUGAUGCUGGAGAACUAAUCACCCAGAGAGAGCUGGUCUCCAGCCAGGUGAGCAACGACCUUAUGGAGUGAGCAGCCACCUUUGGGCUCAUCCUGGACAACAUGUCUUUGACAUAUCUGACCUUCGGGAAGGAGUUAAUAGGAGCAGUGGAAGCCAAACAGAUGGCCCAGCAGGAGGCAGAGAGCGCCAGAUUUGUGGUGAAGGCUAAGCAGCAGAAAAAGACGGCCAUCAUCUCUGCUGAGGGUGACUCCAAGGCAGCUGAGCUGAUCACCAACUCACUGGCCACUGCAGGGGACGGCCUGAGCAAGCUGUGCAAGCUGGAAACUGUGGAAGACAUUGCAUACCAGCUCUCACGCUCUUGGAACAUCAUCUGCCUGCCAGUGGGGCAGUCCGUGCUCCUCCAGUUGCCCUAGUGAGGGCCCAGCCUACCUGCACCUCCGUGAGGCAACUGGGCCACAGCCCCGAUGAUUUGUAAUACCACCUUCUGCCCUCACCCCAGAAAUCACUGAAAUUUCAUGAUUGGCUUAAAGUGAAGGAAAUAAAGGUAAAAUCACUUCAGCUCUCUAAAAAACAAAAGAAGAAUUACAUGGGUUAGUACAUGAAAAAAUUAUGGGAAACUACAUGGAAUAUACUGUUACGUUCAAUAAACAUUAGCUUCUAUAUAUAAUAA
Non-coding RNA from Chlorocebus sabaeus (green monkey), 894 nucleotides. Lineage: Eukaryota; Metazoa; Chordata; Mammalia; Primates; Cercopithecidae. The record is from RefSeq and is a predicted model, not a curated record.